Molecule: ribosomal RNA, 293 nt
Filed under: uncultured Flavobacterium sp.
Lineage: Bacteria; Pseudomonadati; Bacteroidota; Flavobacteriia; Flavobacteriales; Flavobacteriaceae
Description: partial 16S ribosomal RNA
Rfam family: Bacterial small subunit ribosomal RNA
Source: RNAcentral
GAGUUUGAUCCUGGCUCAGGAUGAACGCUAGCGGCAGGCUUAACACAUGCAAGUCGAGGGGUAUAGGUUUUCGGACCUAGAGACCGGCGCACGGGUGCGUAACGCGUAUGCAAUCUACCUUUUACAGAGGGAUAGCCCAGAGAAAUUUGGAUUAAUACCUCAUAGUAUAAUGAUUCGGCAUCGGAGACAUUAUUAAAGUUCCAACGGUAAAAGAUGAGCAAUGCGUCCCAUUAGCUAGAUGGUAAGGUAACGGCUUACCAUGGCGACGAUGGGUAGGGGUCCUGAGAGGGAGA